GACGAACGCUGGCGGCGUGCUUAACACAUGCAAGUCGAACGGUGAAGCGCCUUCCUUUUUGGUGGGUGUGGAUGAGUGGCGAGCGGGUGAGUAACACGUGAGUAACCUGCCCCCUUCUUCUGGAUAACCGCAUGAAAGUGUGGCUAAUACGGGAUAUUCUGGUUCUGUCGCAUGAUGGGUCUGGGAAAGAUAUUGUUUCGGUGGGGGAUGGGCUCGCGGCCUAUCAGCUUGUUGGUGGGGUGAUGGCCUACCAAGGCGGUGACGGGUAGCCGGCCUGAGAGGGUGGACGGUCACACUGGGACUGAGACACGGCCCAGACUCCUACGGGAGGCAGCAGUGGGGAAUAUUGCACAAUGGGCGCAAGCCUGAUGCAGCGACGCCGCGUGAGGGAUGGAGGCCUGCGGGUUGUGAACCUCUUUCGCCAGUGAAGCAGGCCUGCCUCGUUUGUGGGUGGGUUGACGGUAGCUGGAGAAGAAGCGCCGGCUAACUACGUG
Molecule: ribosomal RNA, 494 nt
Filed under: uncultured bacterium
Lineage: Bacteria
Description: partial 16S ribosomal RNA
Rfam family: Bacterial small subunit ribosomal RNA
Source: RNAcentral